Molecule: long non-coding RNA, 1278 nt
Filed under: Sorghum bicolor (sorghum)
Lineage: Eukaryota; Viridiplantae; Streptophyta; Magnoliopsida; Poales; Poaceae
Description: long non-coding RNA (SBIC_LNC003843)
Source: RNAcentral
UAUAGGGAUGCAUGUCUUGUGUUUUGGUUGUUGGAGCUUAAAGUUACAUUUUUAUAAAAAAAAUGAAGAAAAAGUUACACUUCCUAUCUACUAAUUUCAUCUGUUUGAAAUACCUCAGGAAAGCAAAACACAAAAGCCUGUCGUUGCAUUCAUUGCUGGACUUACGGCACCCCCAGGCCGUCGCAUGGGUCAUGCUGGAGGUACCAACUAGCUCUUCAUUCUUUGCCCUUCGUAGUUCUUAAUCUACAUAUUUGAGCUCCAUUCAAUUGUACUUUUGAUGUAUUAUUGAGUUGAAAUAUGAUCCUUGCAUUUAGUUGAGAUAAGUUACUGGGAACAUCUUUUUUUUACCAUUCUAUUGUUCAUGAGUCUGGGCAAUUCUGUAUGACUGUAUCGGACCAGUAUGAAUAUGGCAUCUGUUCAGCCAUUUGCAGUUGAGGGCAAUUCUGCAUAUAUUUUUUAUUUUAGCGUUGAAAUCAUGUCUGCAAAAUUGAGAAAAUCCCUUGUUACUGGCUUACUGGUAUAACAUUCAUCAAACCUAAUUUGUGUGAUUGAUUAGCCGUAAUCAUCAACUAUAGUGCUGUUAUUCAUUCAUCUCUGACCAUUCUGAUUUUGACUGCACUUUUGGUACAGCUGAGUUCCAUUUUUUUUUGGGAGCUGGAGCUGUGGGAGCAUUAGAUGUAUUUUGGAUUAUACAUGUUUUAGUCAUUUAAUUUUUUAAUUUAUUUUACAAAUUGAAAAAUCCUGCAUGAAUCUUGGAGCUAGAAUUGUGUGCUGAAUAGGCCCUUUAGUUUGCUACACAUACUAAUUGUAUUUCAUGUUACACAUGCUAAUGUGUACUAAUGCAGUUUUUCACCAGGUUUGGCACAAGUGUUGCAUGUGCUAAUCCAGUUUGAUCCUUCUGUUGUGAACUAUGUGCAGCUAUCGUGGCAGGAGGAAAGGGUACUGCCCAGGACAAAAUCAAGGCACUCAGAGAGGCCGGUGUUACCGUUGUCGAGUCACCAGCGAAGAUUGGAUCUACCAUGUUUGAAAUCUUCAAGCAGCGUGGAAUGGUAGAAUAGAGACACAAUGGUACAGUAGAGACAUUGAGAAACCGCUUUUUGGUGCUCGUGGGCUAUUGCGAGCAAUUCCUAGAUCUUUUUCCCUGGCCACAAACAAAACUGCUGAGGCCUCCUUUUCUUACGUGCCUUCUGUUUGGAAGAUGGCCUGGCCUUCUUCACUUGGAUCACCUUCCAAUGAGCUCAUUUCAAUAAGACGUUUCGGAGCCAUGGACAUGCUGUU